RNAcentral lists this long non-coding RNA (905 nucleotides) under Olea europaea subsp. europaea. The record is from RNAcentral. Lineage: Eukaryota; Viridiplantae; Streptophyta; Magnoliopsida; Lamiales; Oleaceae.
GGGGCUUAGCUCAGAUUAUCAUUUUUUUCCCCCAAAAUUUGAACGAGCUCAUUUAGCAAUUCUAGUUCUUUUUAAGAUCAAAGUUUUACUGUAAUCAAGAAUCUAUAUUUUUUGCUAGAUUUUCUUUCCCUUGUUUUUGGGUUUUCAUCAAAAUUCUGAUCCGUGAUUAGCCCAGAUUGCUUUAGAGCAAUGAAUUUCAAAAAGCAUGGAAGAAUUUGGGCCGUUUUAUAUGAACCAGCAUUCAAAACCAGCCACAAGACGUCGGCAUUUUGUGGGCACUUUGUGUGGUAUCCUGUGCUUGGUAUACUCAGUGUUCUUCAAUUGGCAGUGCCUGAUUCUCACGCCUUUCUUUGGUUACUAUUUUUCCUUGGUAUAGCCAUUUCUUUGUUGAAAGGAAUGUUCCAUAAGAAAUGUCGAAAACAUAAAUUCAUUUUAUCUAUUCUGACACCGUCGACCGGGAUGAGUAAUUUGGGGCUGCAAUGAAUCGAAUGAGUAAUAUGAGACUGCAAUUAAUCUGCUCGAUGGCUUACAGUAGCGGGGAUUUAGUUGCAAGUAAACUUUUGGGCUGCAAUUAAUCUUCUCGCACAGGUCGAUGGUUUACAGUAGCAAGAUUGUUUGGGGCUGCGUUUGUGUCGGCGGUUGCUUGUUUCAUUGUUUGGGGUUGCAUAUUUGUGGGAAAAUUAGGGGGAAAAUAUAUUACUAGGUGGUCCACCUUUCUUCCCUUCAAAAACAAACCACAAACGAAAAUUAUGGGUUGAUUGGUGACACGUGUUCUUUUUCAAAUCCCUGUUUUUAUAUAUAUUUUUGGACCUGUCCAAGUAGAUUAAUUCUUAAGUAAUAGCGUUAAGCCUUUGAGCAACAUUCUAGGGAAAAAAUGUAUUAUUCAUCUCAAAUCAAUGAAAAAU